CCUACGGGUGGCUGCAGUGGGGAAUAUUGGGCAAUGGCGCAAGCCUGACCCAGCAACGCCGCGGGAAGGAAGAAGGCUUUCGGGUUGUAAAAUUCUUUUAAGCGGGAAGAGGAGAAGACGGUAACUCUUGAAUCAGCCACGGCUAACUACGUGACAGCAGCCGCGGUAAUACGUAGGUGGGAAGGGUUGUCCGGAUUUACUGGGUGGAAAGGGCGUGCAGCCGGGAAGACAAGUCAGAUUUGAAAUCCCGCGGCUCAACCGCGGAACUGCAUUUGAAACUGUUUUUCUGGAGUACCGGAGAGGUCAUCGGAAUUCCUUGUGUAGCGGUGAAAUGCGUAGAUAUAAGGAAGAACACCAGUGGCGAAGGCGGAUGACUGGACGGCAACUGACGGUGAGGCGCGAAAGCGUGGGGAGCAAACAGGAUUAGAUACCCUGGUAGUC
Molecule: ribosomal RNA, 441 nt
Filed under: uncultured bacterium
Lineage: Bacteria
Description: partial 16S ribosomal RNA
Rfam family: Bacterial small subunit ribosomal RNA
Source: RNAcentral